CGAAAGCCUGACGGAGCAACGCCGCGUGGGGGAGGAAAGUCCUUGGAUUGUAAACCUCUUUUCUCAAGGAAGAAAAAAAUGACGGUACUUGAGGAAUAAGCAUCGGCUAACUCCGUGCCAGCAGCCGCGGUAAUACGGAGGAUGCAAGCGUUAUCCGGAAUCAUUGGGCGUAAAGCGUCCGCAGGUGGUAAUGUAAGUUCUUAGUUAAAGACAGAAGCUCAACUUCUGAAAGGCUAAGAAAACUGCAUAACUAGAGGCAGGUAGGGGUAGCAGGAAUUCCCAGUGUAGCGGUGAAAUGCGUAGAGAUUGGGAAGAACAUCGGUGGCGAAAGCGUGCUACUGGGCUGAGCCUGACACUGAGGGACGAAAGCUAGGGGAGCGAAAGGGAUUAGAUACCCCUGUAGUCCUAGCCGUAAACGAUGGAAACUAGGCGUAGCUUGUAUCGACCCAAGCUGUGCCGAAGCCAACGCGUUAAGUUUCCCGCCUGGGGAGUACGCACGCAAGUGUGAAACUCAAAGGAAUUGACGGGGGCCCGCACAAGCGGUGGAGUAUGUGGUUUAAUUCGAUGCAACGCGAAGAACCUUACCAAGGCUUGACAUCUGACGAAUCUCCGKGAAAGGGGAGAGUGCCUUCGGGAGCGUCAAGACAGGUGGUGCGUGGCUGUGCUCAGCUCGUC
This 675-nucleotide ribosomal RNA is filed under the name uncultured cyanobacterium. RNAcentral describes it as "bacterial SSU rRNA". It matches the Rfam family "Bacterial small subunit ribosomal RNA", at positions 376 to 1064 of the family's 1533-position model. The record is from RNAcentral. Lineage: Bacteria; Bacillati; Cyanobacteriota.